UGCAACCCGACUACAUGAAGCUGGAAUCGCUAGUAAUCGCGAAUCAGAAUGUCGCGGUGAAUACGUUCCCGGGUCUUGUACACACCGCCCGUCACACCAUGGGAGUCGGAAAUGCCCGAAGUCAGUGACCCAACCGUAAGGAGGGAGCUGCCGAAGGUGGAGCCGGUAACUGGGGUGAAGUCGUAACAAGGUAUC
Molecule: ribosomal RNA, 195 nt
Filed under: uncultured bacterium
Lineage: Bacteria
Description: partial 16S ribosomal RNA
Rfam family: Bacterial small subunit ribosomal RNA
Source: RNAcentral